This 254-nucleotide ribosomal RNA is filed under the name uncultured bacterium. RNAcentral's name for it is "partial 16S ribosomal RNA". It matches the Rfam family "Bacterial small subunit ribosomal RNA", at positions 524 to 776 of the family's 1533-position model. The record is from RNAcentral.
UACGUAGGGGGCGAGCGUUGUCCGGAUUCAUUGGGCGUAAAGAGCUCGUAGGCGGCUUGGCAAGUCGGAUGUGAAAACUCCAGGCUCAACCUGGAGCCGCCAUUCGAUACUGCUAUGGCUAGAGUCCGGUAGGGGAGUGUGGAAUUCCCGGUGUAGCGGUGAAAUGCGCAGAUAUCGGGAGGAACACCGAUGGCGAAGGCAGCACUCUGGGCCGGUACUGACGCUGAGGAGCGAAAGCGUGGGGAGCGAACGGG